CACACACACACACAUCAGAGUCCAAGCCCCCUGAAAGCAGACUCCACCAGCUUUCAAAACUCAGGAAUAAUAAUGCAAACCGGCUGAACGCCUCUGAGUGAUCCACUAUUUCAUACCCCCUUGCUGGCCUCGUGCUCUCAGUGAUGAGUAUUUGGCUUUUUCCAUUUGUAGCAGAUUACUGUAACACUAUUGUAAAACAACUUCCUGCCUCCUCUGGCCAUGAUGCCAAAAAUAAAUAAAUAAAUAAAUAAACAAAAAUAGAACUGCAAAGAGGCUUUGCGCUCUGUCCCAGAGCGGGGAGAGCACAAAGGAUGGGGAAAGACGGAGACUCUCCAUCUGGAACAAAAAGAAAGUCUCUCGCCGUGUCGACACUAACCGACGCAUUUCUCAGGCUUGUUUCCGCGGACGCUGCAGCGCGGGGAGAGACGAGGGAUGGAGCUGAUACACGACAAGGUGGAGAAACUUUCUUUGUGCUCCAAGACUUCUCCUCCUCCUGCGCGCAGUCUGAAUAUGGCUGCCACCGCCGCUGACUCAGGAGGCUUGUGCUCUGUGCCUCUCGGGCCAAGGGAGCCAGAGCUGCGCCCAAAUGCUAGUGGGAGGGGGGGGAGGGUUCAGGAAAGGGGGGUCUGUUCACGGCCUCACGCCUCCCUCGCUCCUGCUGCCUGUCCUGCCCAAGCCGGCGACAUCGGCCGGAGGUGGACGGUGCCCAGGACGCAGAAGAUGGCCGGACGAGCAGAAGCAGUAAAGCGCUGUGCCUUUUUUUUUUCCUUCCCCAGAUUUUGCUCCCGUUCUGUUUUUUUUUUUGUUUGGCAUGGAGCAGGAGCCUCUUCCCGAGUGGAGUUGCUACGUCACAUCUCGCCAUGCCUCCGAACCAAUUGAAAAAUCAAGCGAUUCGAGGAACAUUAUAUACAUUCAAUCAGAGAAAAAAAAAAGACCGACAUGAAGGACACAUAAGGAAGAAAUCCCAGACGUCCCUGCUAGGCUUUCGUAGAAGUAGGUAUUUAGAAGGCUCCUCUCUUGCUCCACUGACAUCAGCUGGGCCCAGUACCCCCAGGCCCGAGGUGCCCAGUGCGCUUGAACAUCAUGGAGGUCAUCCCUUGCAGAGCUGGUAAUUCUGAACCUCUCUCUAUUUCAUGCUCCUUUGCUUCCCUGAGGUGGACCAACCACAAAACAGAAAACGCAGAAUGGCUGCUUUCGCCAGGCUUUCCUUGCUGGUGACUAUGCAUAACCACCGUGAUCUACAUGAAGUACGCGAUGAAGCCCUGAAGGACUGAGGCCUCCUUCACAAGGGGUGAAGAUAUUUUUUGGCACGUUUCCAUUAUAGUUGAUUUACAAAAAAGUAGAUAAUAAAAGUAGAUUACUGUAUUAAAUACGAUAUAAAUAAUAUUAGCCUAGACAGCUAUAUGUAUAAUGAGUGGUAUGAACGGCAGCUGUCUUUUAAAUGAGUCAAAAAUAAAGAGAGCUGAAGUCUGAA
Long non-coding RNA from Brienomyrus brachyistius, 1474 nucleotides. RefSeq lists it as uncharacterized. The record is from RefSeq and is a predicted model, not a curated record. The transcript has 2 exons. NCBI's taxonomy places the organism in Eukaryota, Metazoa, Chordata, Actinopteri, Osteoglossiformes, Mormyridae.